AUGGAGUGCAGUGGUGUGAUCAUGGCUCACUGCAACCUAAAUCUGGGCUCAAGCAAUCCUCCAGCUUUGGGCUUACAAGUAGCUGGGACUACGGGAAACCACCAGAAUCAUGGUAUUCUGAAGACUAGAGAUGCGAGUCUUCCUCAUUUGGCAUCCCACUGGGCCCACUGUGUUAUUCACUGCAAAUGCCCCUCCCUCUAGAUCCAGGAGCUAUUGCAGAAGAGUCUUUCUCCAGUCCAUGUGAGAUUGAAACAACAACCCUGACACCUACCUUUCAUCAUUAAAAACAAAAAUUAAAGAUGAAUUCUAGAGCCAGUUGUGAAAACUAAAACUGUAAGAAACAAAGGAGAAUGUCUUCACAGGUG
RNAcentral lists this long non-coding RNA (365 nucleotides) under Callithrix jacchus (white-tufted-ear marmoset). RNAcentral describes it as "lncRNA (ENSCJAG00000078051.1)". Lineage: Eukaryota; Metazoa; Chordata; Mammalia; Primates; Cebidae. The record is from RNAcentral.